Molecule: small RNA, 52 nt
Filed under: fish gut metagenome
Description: Streptococcus sRNA SpF59 (ldcC RNA)
Rfam family: Streptococcus sRNA SpF59 (ldcC RNA)
Source: RNAcentral
GACCACUUCCUUUGGAAGUCAAGGCCAUCCGGACAGCCGGGUCCACUGCCGA